Molecule: non-coding RNA, 78 nt
Organism: Desmophyllum pertusum
Lineage: Eukaryota; Metazoa; Cnidaria; Anthozoa; Scleractinia; Caryophylliidae
Source: the annotation of a GenBank genome assembly
GUCUUUCCGGAGCUCAUUGGUAGAGCGAAGCAUCCGACUGGCGUACGGAAGACAUGGAUUCGAUUCCUGUCGGGGACU